Molecule: ribosomal RNA, 229 nt
Filed under: uncultured bacterium
Lineage: Bacteria
Description: partial 16S ribosomal RNA
Rfam family: Bacterial small subunit ribosomal RNA
Source: RNAcentral
UGCGUAGGCGGGGCGGUAAGUCAGAGGUGAAAUCUUCCAGCUUAACUGGGAAACUGUCUUUGAUACUGUCGUCCUUGAGUAUAGUUGAGGUGGGCGGAAUGUGUAAUGUAGCGGUGAAAUGCAUAGAUAUUACACAGAACACCAAUUGCGAAGGCAGCUCGCUAAACUAUCACUGACGCUGAGGCACGAAAGCGUGGGGAGCGAACAGGAUUAGAUACCCUGGUAGUCC